Humulus lupulus (European hop) is the source of this 645-nucleotide long non-coding RNA. RefSeq lists it as uncharacterized. The transcript has 3 exons. The record is from RefSeq and is a predicted model, not a curated record. NCBI's taxonomy places the organism in Eukaryota, Viridiplantae, Streptophyta, Magnoliopsida, Rosales, Cannabaceae.
AAAGCUAUCAUUUUACCCGAACCCUUACAUCUCUUUCUAUCACUCUCUCUCAGCCUCUCCCUCACAUCGUCUCUCUCUCUGCCUCUCUCUCGCGUCUCUCUCUCGCACGACAAGGAAGCCAGGCGAGGCUCUCUCACAUGGUCUCCCUCUCUCUCUCUCUCUCUCCGGUGUGCGAUAGGGUGAUGGGCUUUCGUGGCUUGAGGUGUGGGUUCUAAAGGGUGGCUUCCUCGUGGGUGCGAGGUCACGGGGAAGACACCACGAGGUCUAGCAUAAACAAUCUUCAACGGGCCAGGAGCAGAUUUGGUAGUUGACAGAAUGGAACAUUUGGUUUUGGAGCAAGAAAAGCAAUAUCCAUCUGGAGUAAGAUGACAACUUUCAAAUGCACAUGUAUGUUUGCUUUGCUAUGUAGCUUGGUAAAUGUGUGUGUUGAAUUUCUAUAGAUUAUCUCUUGUAUAAUAAUCUUUAUUCUCCUAUAAAUUUUAGUAUAAUUGUCUUCCCGCUUUUGUUUAGAAUUCUUUCUCUGAAAUCUGUCUUGUUUUGUCGCUUGAUAUAGAAAAUAGCUUAGUGUGGCAAAAGCUAGAAUUUGUCUUUGGUAAGGACUUUCAACACUAGUUUUUAUGAAAUUGCAGUAUAUUUUUUCUUCUA